UACGGAGGGGGCGAGCGUUAUUCGGAAUUAUUGGGCGUAAAGGGCGCGUAGGCGGCUGAACAAGUCAAAGGUGAAAUCCCUUGGCUCAACUGAGGAACUGCCUUUGAAACUGUUCGGCUUGAGGCCGGGAGGGGGUAGCGGAAUUCCCAGUGUAGCGGUGAAAUGCGUAGAUAUUGGGAGGAACACCAGUGGCGAAGGCGGCUACCUGGACCGGUUCUGACGCUGAGGCGCGAAAGCGUGGGUAGCAAACAGG
This 253-nucleotide ribosomal RNA is filed under the name uncultured bacterium. RNAcentral's name for it is "partial 16S ribosomal RNA". It matches the Rfam family "Bacterial small subunit ribosomal RNA", at positions 524 to 776 of the family's 1533-position model. The record is from RNAcentral.